UGAUUUGAUUGGCUAUAGUUGCAUUUUUUUGGGAAAGCCUGGUUGGCUGAUGAUGAUGAGCUGACCAUAGGUUUUGAUUUCUAAGCAUUUCAGGCUUACUUUUGGGUUUGCUUAUGGAGGCUACUAAGAUAUUUAAGCCACUUCCAUCUAAUGGCUUCCUUGUUGAAUUAACACUUCCCUUUCCAACUAUUAAAGAAUAAGAGCAAGAAUAAGAAAAAUGGGAGUUCCUAUUGUAGCUCAGUGGGGAUGAAUCCAACUAGUAUCCAUGAGGAUGCAGGUUCGAUCCCUGGCAUUGCUCAGUGUGUUAAGGAUCUGGUGUUGCUGUGAGCAGUGGUGUAGGUUGCAGACUAGGCUCGGAUUUGGCGUGGCUGUGGCAUAGGCCAGCCACUUCAGCUCUGAUUCAACCCUUAGCCUGGGAACUUCCAUAGCCCUGAGUGCAGCCCUAAAAAAAAAAAAAAAAAAAAAUGCCCUCCCCCCCAAAAAAAGAAUAAGGCAAAUGGUUUGGAUUAGUUUAGAAAAUUAUCUAAAGUAAUUGUAUAUAUGUCCAUGUCAGUAGCUGGGAACAUAAAUUCCUAGAAUUAAAGAUUCAGGUAGUGAAAGCAAGGUUACAAGGUUUAUACCCAUAAUUGGCUCAAGAUCACUGUUAGCUUUUCUUUCCAGAUCUCAUCUCAAACAUGAUGGAAUUACAUGCAAAUUGCCAUAGGGCUGAGGGGAGAAUUGUGAAAGGCAGGCAAAGAGCUGUGGAAGACUGGAAAGCAACUUAGAUGUUGCUGGUUUCCAAAAUAGAGCACAAUGUGCUCUUAUGCAAAAAAGCAGUCUGUAUAAACAUGAUUUGCAGAUAACAAGUUCCUAUUACAUUGUGCAGAAACAAUUUUGUGAAAACACUUAACUGCCCGCCCUCCAAACCUCCACCAUGUUGAUCUAUUCCAGAUGAGGAAACCAAGGCUCUGCAGCCCAAGUAACUUAGGGACACAUGUAUCUGUGCACAUGUCUCCAUCUUCAGGACAAACCACUUUACUAAGUACCUCCUAUGUGUCAAGCACCAAGCUAGGCACUGGGGAUCAGAAAUACUUUGCAAAGACCUUUUCAUGUGAAGCCUGAUUAUCAUGAAGGUCUUGGUGAUUUAGAACCAUGAUACUAAAAGCUGCUAUUUCUUUACUCCUGUCAAGCCCUUUAUGACUUCGGCUAAAUCAUAAAGGUUUAUGUUAAGAUUGGUCAGAAAAUAGACUCCAAACUGUUCCUCUAAUUGGUCCCAAACUCAGUAGUGACAGAGCCCCUACAAGUUAAUGACAUUUUUUCUGUGACACUCCAGAAUGUUGAAAGAAAAUUAAGCUUCAGAUAAUUACAUAAUCUUUUGUUAAAUCAGAUUCCUUAUAUAGUAGAGGCUGGUGUAGAAAUGGUUAUAUAGCAAGUACCCAAGGUUUAAAAAUACAGGCACAUCUUGAAACUGAGAACAAUCUUGUUAACUUUCCCCCUCUGUUAGUUAGAAAAGGAUCUUCAUCAUCUGAUUUUGGGGUAGGAGAGCACCUCUCAUCAGUUCAAGACAGAGCGUCACUGUUGCCUAGGAACAGAGUUUGUUUUGGCAAUCUCUAGUUUAAUCAUAGGAGACUUAAAAAAAUUUGUGUGUGAUAGUCUUUUUCUGAUUCUGUCCCAUUCCUUCCCAUCCCCAAACUCCACCCUUCCCCUAGCUUCCAUCUCCCAAUGCUAGAUUGACUGGUUUUUUUAAGAAAUAUGUUGGCGAUCUUGAAAGACUGCCAAAAUUUGGGAAGCUCUUUGAGCUUAAAAACUGCGAGAAUUUGGGGGAGAGUUCUUCUAUCUUAGAGAAAUACUGAUAAUCUUUCGGUUUGUUUAACCUUACGGCAUUACUUAUAAUGUGUCCUACUUUCAAGUAAACUGAUCCCAUAUCUCAAGUAUAUAAUUAACAUAUUAAGUAUAUAAUUAUAUAAUUAUAAAUUUGUAUGAGGCCUAUAAAUUAUACAAUUAUGUACUUGUAAAACCCAGCCUACUUCAGUUUCUCUUGUAGCUUGGCCAAGAACCUACUUGUAUUGAGUUGAAUGAACUUAGAUUUUCAUUUGGUGAUGCUUUGUUUUUAGUCAGUUCUUCAACCUUCCUAGCCACCCUCCUAGUCCACCAGCUGGUGUUGAUUACGUUGAUUACCCACAUGUUGAUGGCUUGGGCACUGCUCAUGGUGCCUUGUGGGAGUGGGUGUGACCCAGCUUACUGAUGCGCCAUGUCAUUCCAACCAAUCCUGAUAGGCUCUGUGUCAUGGGAUGUUGGUCAAUCAGUGGCCAAAAUGUUAGAGAAGGCUUGAACUUCAUUAAAUGGAUGGCGUCUUUGUUGCAGAUGUAAUUACUAGCACCUCAGCAAGUUCAGAGAGCAAAAAUUUAGCUGAGCUUCUAAGCAGCAAAUGUGUUCCUUCUAAAGAGCAACAUAAAGCAUCUAAAAACCUGGACUUUAGAACUUUCCUGAUGCUUUUUAGCAACUGGAAAGGUUUGAAGAAAUGAACUGUUUCUUUGCACAAAGUUACUUAACUGAGGCAAGUCUUUUCUGUAAAGAGAAAUAUUCUUAACCGACUGCUACAUCUUUUGCCUGGAGUGGUGGUGCACCUCUUUUAUUGAAUGUUCAGAAUCUUCAGGAGUUAGCAUGUUGGUCACCUGCUUAGUUUGGUUUCUGAGAUCUGCCUGAUGACUCAACAGACAUUUGCUCCAAUUCCUCCAGGGGUUGAAGCUUUUCAGCACUAGCCUGCAUUUUUGAUGAUAAUGUGGAGUUCCAUUUGUUUGUUCUAACAUGGAGAAAUUCAGAGAAUUAUAAGUUACUAUUUUUUCACUUACUCAUCAAAUAGUUGCAUGGGCCAGUUCUAUGCGCACAUGAAAUUACAAGCCAUUAGUGUGCACUUAAAUAAAACAGAGGGUAGAAGUUACCCUUUGCUGCUUCAGUGGUUGUCCGGCUGUUGGAAUGGCAUGAGUAGCUUUUAAAAAGGCUCGUGGCCAAAUUCACCCCCAGAGAGUCUGACGUAAUUGGUCCAUGGUGCUGGCUGGGCAUGGGGGGAGCGGGGCAGCAGUGGUGGCGUUAAAAGUUGCCCCAGUGAGUCUAAUAUGAGACAGUCUUGAGAACCAUUGCUUCAGAGUUGAUAGUAUUCUUUUUUUAAUGGCCGCACCUGUAGCACAUGGCUGUCCCGGGCCAGAAGUUGAAUUGGAGCUGUGUUCUGAACCAGAAAAGCAAAGUAAACACUAAGGAACUUAAAAAUCUACUUGUUGGGGUUCCUGUCCCUGGAGAUUUUGCAUCGGUAGGUCUGGGAUGCUUAGGAAAAGCUUCUCAAUGUGAUGCUGAUAACAUCCCUUUGAGAGCCACAACUGUAAAGUAUAAAAUUUUUAAACUUUAGAAACAUAGUAAGGGUGCAGAGAAGAUGCCAUAGAAAUUUCGACGCUAUAAUAUUUAUUGGAGGACUCAGUUUUGUUUUGUUACCUCUGAGUGCUGCAGUGAAAACUGGACUUUCGGUAUUGACCUGCAUUAUUAAUAGUGCAUUAUUUUAGAGUUGGGCUUUGCUUAGUGUGAUUAUGUAUGUGGAAAAGCAUCCUCAACAAGCGUGGGAUGAUUAAGUGAAACUACUUAGGUAUCUGUUGGAAGCCAAUAGAUGUGUAUCUUUUUUUUUUUUUUUUUUUUUUUUUUUUUGCUUCUGUUCAGAGCAUGUUUAAGAGUCUUUUUGGCCACCUUAGUACUUUUGAAGUAUGUUUUCUUUUCAUAAAGUGCGAGGUACUAAUUAAAGCCUUACAUCAUUGUUUGCUUUCUCUUCUUGCUUAAAUUGGGAGGGGGUUUUAAGUGAAUCACUUCCUAGGCUUCUGUGCUAAUUGGCAGUGUUAGGUUUCCUUAACUUUUUCAAGCCAUGGUUAACCCUUUGGGGAAGAAGGAAUGAUUUAACCAAUUUAUCGUAGCCUUUGGUUGAAAACAUCCUUGAAGUUGGAUUACUACGUAUAGCAAAACAACUAACUUGAGUUAGUUGGAGGUGGUCUUUGUGUUUUAUAAUUUGUUUCAUUUCAGAGAGUGUACUGGGUUUCAGCUAGACUAGACUCGUGGCCCAAUGAUCAUUUGUAAUUCUAGAACUCUCCAGAGCCAGUUUGGCCUGUGGUCAGCUAGCCACCUAGUAGAGGGAUGUACAGUCCCAUCCACAGGAGAUGUGGCACCCUCCCCAAUACUUCUGGACCCUGCCCCGCCUCCCGUGGUCCCUCUGUCAUCCUAGCCAGCUCUCCAUCUGAGAUGCCUUUGGCCCUUCCCUGCUACCCACAUCCCCAUGUUUCUCCCUCUUGCACUGCCGUUUCCCUCCCUAAGGUUCCCAGGGUUGCAGGCCCUCCUCUGCUUAGCAACCUUCAUGUCUCCUCCUCAAAAGUUCCUGGACUGUGUUCUUUCUACCUCAGAGACUGCAAAGCCAGACAUGGGCUUAAUUGAAUCCAGCUUGUUUCUCAUCCUUCUGAUGAUUUCAAAAAUCUGGUCUCUUCCCUGCUGUGCAGUUUUUUCAGCCCCAUCCACACCUGCUGCUUUGAUAUUCCUGAUCAGCUAGGACCAUUGUGACUCCCGCCGUGCCCCCAUGGCCAGUCAGUGGAUAUAUUCUCCACAGAUACAGCCCCCAAUCUGGCCUCUUUGUUUUUCUUCUGGCAGGCUGCCAAGGGCUGUUUGCCAGAACCUAUCUUGGCAGCUCUGGGACAUACUGAUGAUUUAUAAGUUCUGUUGGACCCUCUGUGGCCCCGAGUCAACCUCUGUACCCCUUAGACGACGGGGGCUUGCCUUCUUUCCCCUGCAGCUGUAAAAGAUCUUUCCUUAUUAUCUUUGAACUUCAACCACAUUCCUUCCUCCUUGAUGCUCGCAAAGCGAGCAGCCUCAUGAACUCUUACUGAGAAACUAGAGACCGAAAUGCUUCCGUUUUUCCUCUCCCCAGAUUGUUUCUAUGUAUUGUUGCCUAUCUGUCCUCUGUCCCCACUCCCUUCCCUGGCAGGUUGGCUAACUGUGCUCUUCCCGAUUGUUCUUGAACUUUUUUCUGUUAUCACUUCCUCUUAUAUCAUCUUGAGUCCUUCCUUAUCUGUUGAUUGCAGUCUCUUCUAAAACACCUCCCCUGUGGUUUCCCUGCACUGCCUGCUCAACUGUCGCUCCCAUUUACUGACUUCUGAAAGAGAAGUCCAUUGCCGGUUCCACUUCUGCUUCUCCUUCAGCCAGUUGCAACCAACCAUGGCUUUCCCACCCCCGUCCAGCUCACCUUAUGUACGUGUACUUCUUUGCAGCCCCCACACGUUUGCUCGUGUUGGACACUGUUGAUUACCUCUCCUUUGGGACCCACAGGGAAACUGUCCUCAUUUUCCUCCUAAUUCGUAAAUGGCUUUCUCUGUCUCCUCCACUGACUGCUUUUCUGACUCUCAUUCUUUAAGUAUAACCAGUCCUCCAAUGUUGCAUGCUUGGCCUUUUUCCCUUGUUACCCUGACUUGCAGUAUGAAUUCAUCUAGUCCAUGACUUACUUCCUUUGAAUAGUCACUACGGUCAGCAUACACCCAACGGGCACCAAGUACUCAGGCUUCAGAAAUGAGUCCCCGCCUUUGCCUUUUGAGAAGCUCAGCACAUAUUUAUAGAGCACUUAGUAUGUGCCAAACACUAUAUUCUAAUGAGUUAGACACAAUCCCUGAUGGGGGAAACCCACAAGUAGCCAGUUAACAAAUUGAGGACUAUCAAAUAGUGAUAAGAGCUCUGAUCAUUGUAAAGUGAGAAAAGCAUGAGAAAAGCAGUGUGUGGGGUAGGGUUAUCGGAGAAAAUCUUUUACCGGUGAGAACCUGGAAGAAGAUGCACCACAGAAAACCAGGCCACAAGAGAAAAGGCAGUUUGGUUCAUCUAGGUCUCAGUUUCCUUGUCUAUGAAAUGAAGGAAACACACCUAUCCCCAUAGAGGUGUUUGGAGUAUUGGAAUACUCCAAAAUACUAUAAAUGUGAAGUACCUCAUGCAAUGUCUGCCCUGUAGUGUCUGUAUUUGUCUUUUGUCUCCUUGUCUGUGUCUCACUCACUCAACACACAUACGCAUACACACACUUUAUCUGUAUGUCUUCCACUUCUUAAAACUCGACAGGGUCGGUGAGCAUUUUGUUCCAGUUAAGACUAGAAAAGAUCAACCAGUUAUUUGACUUUUAAGAAUAGAUAAGAAAUGAGAGUAAUUAGAGGAAUUGAUUUGAAGAAGGAAUUGGUAGUUUUUUGAAUAUUUUCUAAAAGAAUUAAUAUUUUUGAAGUGAAACAUUGAAGUAUCUUUCUUGAAGCAGGGUUAAUAAUCUGUCUUGUACA
This 6308-nucleotide long non-coding RNA is filed under the name Sus scrofa (pig). RNAcentral's name for it is "lncRNA (ENSSSCG00015032767.1)". The record is from RNAcentral. Lineage: Eukaryota; Metazoa; Chordata; Mammalia; Artiodactyla; Suidae.